CCUACGGGGGGCAGCAGUGGGGAAUAUUGCACAAUGGGGGAAACCCUGAUGCAGCGACGCCGCGUGAGUGAAGAAGUAUUUCGGUAUGUAAAGCUCUAUCAGCAGGGAAGAAAAUGACGGUACCUGACUAAGAAGCCCCGGCUAACUACGUGCCAGCAGACGCGGUAAUACGUAGGGGGCAAGCGUUAUCCGGAUUUACUGGGUGUUAAGGGAGCGUAGACGGCCAGACAAGUCAGAAGUGAAAGCCCAGGGCUCAACCCUGGGACUGCUUUUGAAACUGCCGGGCUGGAGUGAAGGAGAGGUAAGCGGAAUUCCUAGUGUAGCGGUGAAGUGCGUAGAUAUUAGGAGGAACACCAGUGGCGAAGGCGGCUUACUGGACUGUAACUGACGUUGAGGCUCGAAAGCGUGGGGAGCAAACAGGAUUAGAUUCCCAGUAGUC
Molecule: ribosomal RNA, 439 nt
Filed under: uncultured bacterium
Lineage: Bacteria
Description: partial 16S ribosomal RNA
Rfam family: Bacterial small subunit ribosomal RNA
Source: RNAcentral